GAUGAACGCUGGCGGCGUGCCUAAUACAUGCAAGUCGAGCGAACAGACGAGGAGCUUGCUCCUCUGACGUUAGCGGCGGACGGGUGAGUAACACGUGGAUAGCCUACCUAUAAGACUGGGAUAACUUCGGGAAACCGGAGCUAAUACCGGAUAAUAUAUUGAACCGCAUGGUUCAAUAGUGAAAGACGGUUUUGCUGUCACUUAUAGAUGGAUCCGCGCCGCAUUAGCUAGUUGGUAAGGUAACGGCUUACCAAGGCAACGAUGCGUAGCCGACCUGAGAGGGUGAUCGGCCACACUGGAACUGAGACACGGUCCAGACUCCUAAGGGAGGCAGCAGUAGGGAAUCUUCCGCAAUGGGCGAAAGCAUGACGGAGCAACGCCGCGUGAGUGAUGAAGGUCUUCGGAUCGUAAAACUCUGUUAUUAGGGAAGAACAAAUGUGUAAGUAACUAUGCACGUCUUGACGGUACCUAAUCAGAAAGCCACGGCUAACUACGUG
This 497-nucleotide ribosomal RNA is filed under the name uncultured bacterium. Its description in RNAcentral is "partial 16S ribosomal RNA". It matches the Rfam family "Bacterial small subunit ribosomal RNA", at positions 28 to 507 of the family's 1533-position model. The record is from RNAcentral.